AUCCAAACUCGGGAAAUAAGUCGGUUCCAGGAACAGCUGAGUCAGCGAGUCGCAAGUGUCCGGACUCACCAAAACCCGAUUCCCUUUAGCUUCCAAGCUCCCCAUAACCACAGCCAGCAACUGCUUAUACCCAUAGAAAAACCUCUUCAACGCUGCCUCUGUCGCCUGCAACCCUUGAAGUAAACUAAUCUUCUCGAAAUCCCUCUUCUCUUUGUACAGUCUCAUCGCCGCCUCCUGGAUUCUCGGCCCACCCUUGGGGUCCACCUCCACGCCUAGAAUCUCCGGAACCUUG
This 292-nucleotide unclassified non-coding RNA is filed under the name Hevea brasiliensis (rubber tree). Lineage: Eukaryota; Viridiplantae; Streptophyta; Magnoliopsida; Malpighiales; Euphorbiaceae. The record is from RNAcentral.